GACGAACGCUGGCGGCGUGCUUAACACAUGCAAGUCGAACGGAAAGGCCCUGCUUUUGUGGGGUGCUCGAGUGGCGAACGGGUGAGUAACACGUGAGUAACCUGCCCUUGACUUUGGGAUAACUUCAGGAAACUGGGGCUAAUACCGGAUAGGAGCUCCUGCUGCAUGGUGGGGGUUGGAAAGUUUCGGCGGUUGGGGAUGGACUCGCGGCUUAUCAGCUAGUUGGUGGGGUAGUGGCUUACCAAGGCUUUGACGGGUAGCCGGCCUGAGAGGGUGACCGGCGACAAUGGGCCUGAGAUACGGCCCAGACUGCAACGGGAGGCAGCAGUGGCGAAUAUUGCACAAUGGGCGGGAGCCUGAUGAAGAGACGCCGCGUGCGGGAUGACGGCCUUCGGGGUAUAAACCGCUUUAGCCUGUGACGAAGCGUGAGUGACGGUAAUGGAUAAAGAAGCACCGGCUAACUACGUG
Molecule: ribosomal RNA, 468 nt
Filed under: uncultured bacterium
Lineage: Bacteria
Description: partial 16S ribosomal RNA
Rfam family: Bacterial small subunit ribosomal RNA
Source: RNAcentral